CAAGUAGAGAUUAACCAGACUAA
Molecule: small nuclear RNA, 23 nt
Filed under: Arabidopsis thaliana (thale cress)
Lineage: Eukaryota; Viridiplantae; Streptophyta; Magnoliopsida; Brassicales; Brassicaceae
Description: snRNA_07999
Source: RNAcentral